Transfer RNA from Ovis aries (sheep), 72 nucleotides. It matches the Rfam family "tRNA". Rfam says of the family: Transfer RNA (tRNA) molecules are approximately 80 nucleotides in length. Their secondary structure includes four short double-helical elements and three loops (D, anti-codon, and T loops). NCBI's taxonomy places the organism in Eukaryota, Metazoa, Chordata, Mammalia, Artiodactyla, Bovidae. The record is from Rfam.
UCCCUGGUGGCUUAGUUGUAAAAGAAUCCACCUGCAAAGCAGGAGACCCAGGUUUGAUCCCUGGCUCAGGAA